CUUGAGAGCGGCGUACGGGUGCGGAACACGUGUGCAACCUGCCUUUAUCAGGGGGAUAGCCUUUCGAAAGGAAGAUUAAUACCCCAUAAUAUAUUUGUCGGCAUCGAUGGAUAUUGAAAACUCCGGUGGAUAGAGAUGGGCACGCGCAAGAUUAGAUAGUUGGUGAGGUAACGGCUCACCAAGUCUGCGAUCUUUAGGGGGCCUGAGAGGGUGAUCCCCCACACUGGUACUGAGACACGGACCAGACUCCUACGGGAGGCAGCAGUGAGGAAUAUUGGACAAUGGGUGCGAGCCUGAUCCAGCCAUCCCGCGUGAAGGACGACGGCCCUAUGGGUGUAAACUUCUUUGUAUAGGGAUAAACCUAGAUACGUGUAUCUAGCUGAAGGUACUAUACGAAUAAGCACCGGCUAACUCCGUGCCAGCAGCCGCGGUAAUACGGAGGGUGCAAGCGUUAUCCGGAUUUAUUGGGUUUAAAGGGUCCGUAGGCGGAUCUGUAAGUCAGUGGUGAAAUCUCACAGCUUAACUGUGAAACUGCCAUUGAUACUGCAGGUCUUGAGUGUUGUUGAAGUAGCUGGAAUAAGUAGUGUAGCGGUGAAAUGCAUAGAUAUUACUUAGAACACCAAUUGCGAAGGCAGGUUACUAAGCAACAACUGACGCUGAUGGACGAAAGCGUGGGGAGCGAACAGGAUUAGAUACCCUGGUAGUCCACGCCGUAAACGAUGCUAACUCGUUUUUGGAGCGCAAGCUUCAGAGACUAAGCGAAAGUGAUAAGUUAGCCACCUGGGGAGUACGAACGCAAGUUUGAAACUCAAAGGAAUUGACGGGGGCCCGCACAAGCGGUGGAUUAUGUGGUUUAAUUCGAUGAUACGCGAGGAACCUUACCAAGGCUUAAAUGGGAAAUGACAGGUUUAGAAAUAGACUUUUCUUCGGACAUUUUUCAAGGUGCUGCAUGGUUGUCGUCAGCUCGUGCCGUGAGGUGUUAGGUUAAGUCCUGCAACGAGCGCAACCCCUGUCACUAGUUGCCAUCAUUAAGUUGGGGACUCUAGUGAGACUGCCUACGCAAGUAGAGAGGAAGGUGGGGAUGACGUCAAAUCAUCACGGCCCUUACGCCUUGGGCCACACACGUAAUACAAUGGCCGGUACAGAGGGCAGCUACACUGCGAAGUGAUGCAAAUCUCGAAAGCCGGUCUCAGUUCGGAUUGGAGUCUGCAACUCGACUCUAUGAAGCUGGAAUCGCUAGUAAUCGCGCAUCAGCCAUGGCGCGGUGAAUACGUUCCCGGGCCUUGUACACACCGCCCGUCAAGCCAUGGAAGUCUGGGGU
RNAcentral lists this ribosomal RNA (1321 nucleotides) under Chryseobacterium sp. FCD3-5. RNAcentral's name for it is "bacterial SSU rRNA". It matches the Rfam family "Bacterial small subunit ribosomal RNA", at positions 88 to 1418 of the family's 1533-position model. The record is from RNAcentral. Lineage: Bacteria; Pseudomonadati; Bacteroidota; Flavobacteriia; Flavobacteriales; Weeksellaceae.